This 745-nucleotide ribosomal RNA is filed under the name uncultured bacterium. RNAcentral describes it as "bacterial SSU rRNA". It matches the Rfam family "Bacterial small subunit ribosomal RNA", at positions 33 to 773 of the family's 1533-position model. The record is from RNAcentral.
ACGCUGGCGGCAGGCCUAACACAUGCAAGUCGAGCGGUAGAGAGAAGCUUGCUUCUCUUGAGAGCGGCGGACGGGUGAGUAAUGCCUAGGAAUCUGCCUGGUAGUGGGGGAUAACGUUCGGAAACGGACGCUAAUACCGCAUACGUCCUACGGGAGAAAGCAGGGGACCUUCGGGCCUUGCGCUAUCAGAUGAGCCUAGGUCGGAUUAGCUAGUUGGUGGGGUAAUGGCUCACCAAGGCGACGAUCCGUAACUGGUCUGAGAGGAUGAUCAGUCACACUGGAACUGAGACACGGUCCAGACUCCUACGGGAGGCAGCAGUGGGGAAUAUUGGACAAUGGGCGAAAGCCUGAUCCAGCCAUGCCGCGUGUGUGAAGAAGGUCUUCGGAUUGUAAAGCACUUUAAGUUGGGAGGAAGGGUUGUAGAUUAAUACUCUGCAAUUUUGACGUUACCGACAGAAUAAGCACCGGCUAACUCUGUGCCAGCAGCCGCGGUAAUACAGAGGGUGCGAGCGUUAAUCGGAAUUACUGGGCGUAAAGCGCGCGUAGGUGGUUAGUUAAGUUGGAUGUGAAAUCCCCGGGCUCAACCUGGGAACUGCAUUCAAAACUGACUGACUAGAGUAUGGUAGAGGGUGGUGGAAUUUCCUGUGUAGCGGUGAAAUGCGUAGAUAUAGGAAGGAACACCAGUGGCGAAGGCGACCACCUGGACUGAUACUGACACUGAGGUGCGAAAGCGUGGGGAGCAAAC